GCGCCUGUAGCUCAAUAGGAUAGAGCAUCUGCCUUCUAAGCAGAGGGUUGCCCGUUCGAUUCGGGCCAGGCGCG
Molecule: transfer RNA, 74 nt
Filed under: bacterium
Lineage: Bacteria
Also listed under: 2 other names
Description: tRNA-Arg
Rfam family: tRNA
About the family: Transfer RNA (tRNA) molecules are approximately 80 nucleotides in length. Their secondary structure includes four short double-helical elements and three loops (D, anti-codon, and T loops).
Source: RNAcentral